This 227-nucleotide long non-coding RNA is filed under the name Pelobates cultripes (western spadefoot toad). Lineage: Eukaryota; Metazoa; Chordata; Amphibia; Anura; Pelobatidae. The record is from RNAcentral.
CAGGGUCCUUGUGCCCUGAACAUAGCAUGGUGUGCCUACUGAUGAGCUCAUGCAAUGUUUGUUGGGGACAGUUCCCUGUUGUCUCCAAAACGGAGACACCAGGGAACUAAAUUGGUACAAUGGAACAGGACCAAAAAAUCAGCACUGUCCUGACAAAAUUGGGAUGGUUGGGAGGCCUGUGAUUUAGUGUUUAGUGAAUAGCUCCAAAAAAGAAAAGAAAUACUAAU